AUUGAACGCUGGCGGCAUGCUUUACACAUGCAAGUCGAACGGCAGCGCGGGCUUCGGCCUGGCGGCGAGUGGCGAACGGGUGAGUAAUGCAUCGGAACGUGCCCAGUAGUGGGGGAUAGCCCGGCGAAAGCCGGAUUAAUACCGCAUACGACCUGAGGGUGAAAGCGGGGGACCGAAAGGCCUCGCGCUAUUGGAGCGGCCGAUGUCGGAUUAGCUAGUUGGUGGGGUAAAGGCUUACCAAGGCGACGAUCCGUAGCUGGUCUGAGAGGACGACCAGCCACACUGGGACUGAGACACGGCCCAGACUCCUACGGGAGGCAGCAGUGGGGAAUUUUGGACAAUGGGGGCAACCCUGAUCCAGCCAUGCCGCGUGCGGGAAGAAGGCCUUCGGGUUGUAAACCGCUUUUGUUCGGGAAGAAAUCCUCUGGGCUAAUACCCCGGGGGGAUGACGGUACCUGAAGAAUAAGCACCGGCUAACUACGUG
This 484-nucleotide ribosomal RNA is filed under the name uncultured bacterium. Its description in RNAcentral is "partial 16S ribosomal RNA". It matches the Rfam family "Bacterial small subunit ribosomal RNA", at positions 28 to 507 of the family's 1533-position model. The record is from RNAcentral.